CCCUUCAAACAUUUUGAAAGUGAUGUCAUCGUGCUGUGUUUUGGCUGGUAUUAUGUUGGGAGGGCGCACGAAGAACUGCAGCAGCCAGGCGGUAUAACCAGCGGCUGAGGAUCGUUGGGAAGUCCAGAAAAUCAGGUGCAAAAGUGGAGGGUGGUUGGACAGA
Thalassophryne amazonica is the source of this 163-nucleotide long non-coding RNA. RefSeq lists it as uncharacterized. NCBI's taxonomy places the organism in Eukaryota, Metazoa, Chordata, Actinopteri, Batrachoidiformes, Batrachoididae. The transcript has 3 exons. The record is from RefSeq and is a predicted model, not a curated record.